Molecule: long non-coding RNA, 868 nt
Organism: Drosophila persimilis
Lineage: Eukaryota; Metazoa; Arthropoda; Insecta; Diptera; Drosophilidae
Exons: 3
Source: RefSeq, a predicted model, not a curated record
CCCUGCAGUUGGUGGCAGCAUUGUCCUCAGGAGUCGUUCAAGAUUCGUUUGCCGAGUGUUCUGCCGCGUGUCCGUGCCGCAAAUUUCGCGCGCGUUUCCUUUUUUGGUGCUGCUCGUUGUUUGUUGCACAUUUGCGGCGGGCUGUCUGUCAGUCUGUCUGCUUGUACGUCUCCCAAAAACUCUCUCAGAACCAAAUGCUGUCUGUGUGGCCAGUCUUCGGUCGUGACUCCUCUGACUCUGAAACUUUUAAACUCUGACUCUGCCUCAGUGACAGUUUGUAAACCAGAAGAAGCAGAGCAGCGGCUGAAGAAGACACACACUCCUUAUAGAUAGAGGCUUCCAUGCCCGCGAAAAUGACAGUUUUGAGUUGUGGUCCUGGCUUGUGUUUGGCGCCGGCUACAGCUUCAGCUUCCAAUUCGAAUGCGGGGUGCAAUCACAGCAAACGUCAUUAGCACUCGCGACAUCGCCUUCGAUUGACAGAAGGUCUCGCUCCUAGAACGGGCAAACAGUUCCUAGAAGGGGAACAGCAACAGCAACAGCAGAAGGAGCAGGAGCAGGAGCAGGAGCUCCACGAAACGGUGGCCAAAGAGAACAACUUCACAUUUGCAUAACUUUGCUGCAGCUUCAACAUUCAGAUUCGCCAGAUGUCGGCGGCCGCGGCAGCGGGUGGCAAAGGCACUGCCAUGGAUGUGGAUGUGGUGCAGGCAGCUGGAAAUCAAAGCCCAAUUGGCACAAACACGCGGUAAAUAGAAAUCGCAAUCGAGGCUUGCAAUUGAAAAUAGAAAUUCGCAUUCAAAUGCAAAUAGAAAUAGAAAUAGAAAUUGCCACGAGACCCCAAACAACAAACAGGGCGAAAAAAACAACUAAA